RNAcentral lists this unclassified non-coding RNA (1707 nucleotides) under Cimex lectularius (bed bug). Its description in RNAcentral is "rho GTPase-activating protein 20, transcript variant X4". Lineage: Eukaryota; Metazoa; Arthropoda; Insecta; Hemiptera; Cimicidae. The record is from RNAcentral.
CCCAGUGUAGGUGGUAGAGAAGGGCAGCGAUGUCUCGAAUUGACCUCUCUCACUCAGUCAACAGAAAUUUGUUGACCUGUUGUAACUUGUAGGAGUCCGAGACUGAUUAAUUUGUCAUAAGUCAGAGGUAUCAACGAUGUACCAGUGUUUCACAAACUAUAUAUUACCACCGGUUUCUCACGGAUUUCACCGUUAAUUUCAUUUCACCGCCUUUAAACACAACGGCAAAACGGACGGGGCCGAAUUAAUUGGGCUAAGACAUGAAACACGGAUUAUUUAUAAGGUUAACGACUUCUGAAAACAAAUCCUCCGAUGUUUCUUAAAAAGGGAUACAUUUGAGAAAUGUAGGAUGACAACUUGGGCGGAAAGGAUGCAUCGUCGAGCUGCAACGUUUAGCAAUGUCGUCACAUCAUGUGGACAACCCAACGUCCACCCAUAUCCAAGAAGGCUUGAAAAGGUCAAAUUUGGUGUGCCGCUUGAUGAAGUCUGUAAAAAUGACAUUCCUGGACCUUUACUGGUUUUGGUACUGAAAUUGAACAAAGAGGCUCCAAUUAAAAAGGAUGUGUUCCGAGCCCCAGGUCAUCAAGGUAACAUGAAGAAACUGGUCCAUUUCUUACAAACUGGAAGACUUGUGAAUAUGGACAACUAUUCUGUUUAUACUAUUGCAUCAGUUUUGAAAAAAUUUUUGAGGAAAAUUCCCGGCGGGAUAUUUGGAAGAGCUAAUGAACAACAUUUAUUUACGAUAGUUCAAAUGGAAAACAUGGAAGAACAGAGAGAUGAAAUUCACAAGUUAAUAACAUCACUUCCUUCAUACACACAACGCUUGUUAGUCCUUUUAUUUGGUACUUUUCAAGUAAUUGCUAGUAAUGCGGAGAAAUUUAAUACGGGGAUGACCUCUGAGGCUUUAGGUGUUUCUGUUGCUCCGAGCUUUUUCCAGAGUUGUGUAUCUGAUGGGAAAACAGCCAAAAUGGAAGAUGUCCUUAGGUUCAAAGCUGAAGUUCAUGUCGCAACUCGGAUAAUGAAACUUCUCAUAGAUAAUUUUGGGGCUUGUGACUUGUUUGGUAGACCCAAUUAUGAAUUUUAUGCCCGCAUAACAGGGAGAAUAUUGAAAGUGGAAGAUGACUGGAUUUUCAGUUUCCGUUACCCACCUGAAAUUUUUGCUCGUCAGCUGUCAUCAGAAAAUGAAAAGACUUGCCUUCAGUACGAAUGUGAAAGAUGGGGCUUGAAAUUCAACUUAGAAACAAUGUCUCACCAAGAGGAAAGCCAAUCUACACCAGCUUUAAUCCACCUACCAGAUCUCGAUAACGGUGCUUCCAGUUCCUUAGGUAUUAUCCCUGAAAAUAAUCUAUUGGAAAGUUGUACCAGGCUUUCUAUCAGUCUAGAAGAAAACGGUUUAUUCAAGGCAAACAACUUUCUUCGCUGGACUUGUUGUCUUUAUUGAUAGAAAGGGUUCUAGCAGGUCUUCCUCAAGCAGUGCUUCAGCACAUCACAUGACCCUUGAGGAGUUAAAAGCAGUAAACAGAUAUGCCGAGAGUACAAAAAGUCUCACCUAUCUACCUCAGGUCCAUGAAAGACAAACUGCCAGAAUGAGAACAAGAUCUGAAUGGUUUUUGAAUCCUGGGUAUAGACUGGCCUCAUCGAUGGAUAGUGACCCAACUUUACAUGUUCUCAGAGGAUCUAACAACUUUACAUCUUCUGGGAACAUUG